This 761-nucleotide ribosomal RNA is filed under the name Prevotella melaninogenica. RNAcentral's name for it is "bacterial SSU rRNA". It matches the Rfam family "Bacterial small subunit ribosomal RNA", at positions 28 to 776 of the family's 1533-position model. The record is from RNAcentral. Lineage: Bacteria; Pseudomonadati; Bacteroidota; Bacteroidia; Bacteroidales; Prevotellaceae.
GGUGAACGCUAGCUACAGGCUUAACACAUGCAAGUCGAGGGGAAACGGCAUUAAGUGCUUGCACUUUUUGGACGUCGACCGGCGCACGGGUGAGUAACGCGUAUCCAACCUUCCCAUGACUAAGGGAUAACCUGCCGAAAGGCAGACUAAUACCUUAUGGUCUUCACUGACGGCAUCAGAUGUGAAGUAAAGAUUUAUCGGUUAUGGAUGGGGAUGCGUCUGAUUAGUUAGUUGGCGGGGUAACGGCCCACCAAGGCAACGAUCAGUAGGGGUUCUGAGAGGAAGGUCCCCCACAUUGGAACUGAGACACGGUCCAAACUCCUACGGGAGGCAGCAGUGAGGAAUAUUGGUCAAUGGGCGAGAGCCUGAACCAGCCAAGUAGCGUGCAGGAUGACGGCCCUAUGGGUUGUAAACUGCUUUUGUAUGGGGAUAAAGUCAAUCACGUGUGAUUGUUUGCAGGUACCAUACGAAUAAGGACCGGCUAAUUCCGUGCCAGCAGCCGCGGUAAUACGGAAGGUCCGGGCGUUAUCCGGAUUUAUUGGGUUUAAAGGGAGCGUAGGCUGGAGAUUAAGUGUGUUGUGAAAUGUAGACGCUCAACGUCUGACUUGCAGCGCAUACUGGUUUCCUUGAGUACGCACAACGUUGGCGGAAUUCGUCGUGUAGCGGUGAAAUGCUUAGAUAUGACGAAGAACUCCGAUUGCGAAGGCAGCUGACGGGAGCGCAACUGACGCUGAAGCUCGAAGGUGCGGGUAUCGAACAGG